GAGGGCAUAGCUCAGUGGUAGAGCUCAUGCUUAGCAUGCAUGAGGUCCCAAGUUCAAUCCCCAGUACCACCA
Molecule: transfer RNA, 72 nt
Filed under: Camelus bactrianus (Bactrian camel)
Lineage: Eukaryota; Metazoa; Chordata; Mammalia; Artiodactyla; Camelidae
Also listed under: 2 other names
Rfam family: tRNA
About the family: Transfer RNA (tRNA) molecules are approximately 80 nucleotides in length. Their secondary structure includes four short double-helical elements and three loops (D, anti-codon, and T loops).
Source: Rfam by way of RNAcentral